RNAcentral lists this ribosomal RNA (357 nucleotides) under Clostridioides difficile. Its description in RNAcentral is "partial 23S ribosomal RNA". It matches the Rfam family "Bacterial large subunit ribosomal RNA", at positions 1 to 358 of the family's 2925-position model. The record is from RNAcentral. Lineage: Bacteria; Bacillati; Bacillota; Clostridia; Peptostreptococcales; Peptostreptococcaceae.
UGGUCAAGUUAUUAAGGGUGCAGGGCGGAUGCCUUGGCACUAGGAGCCGAUGAAGGACGUGAUAAGCUGCGAUAAGCUUCGGGGAGUUGCACGUAAACUUUGAUCCGAAGAUUUCCGAAUGAGGAAACUCACUUAGAGUAAUGUCUAAGUAUCAUUAAGUGAAUACAUAGCUUAAUGAGGGGAACUCAGGGAACUGAAACAUCUAAGUACCUGAAGGAAGAGAAAGAAAUUCGAUUCCGUAAGUAGCGGCGAGCGAACGCGGAUUAGCCCAAACCAAUAAAGUUUUCUUUAUUGGGGUUGCGGACAUAUCAUAACGAAGAGGUAUCGUAAUUGAAGAGGUUUGGAAAGACCCACCAC